UGGGAUGUAGCUCAGUGGCACAGCAGGCGCUUAAGAAAUGCGAGGCCCUGGGUUUGAUCCCCAGCGUUGCAA
RNAcentral lists this transfer RNA (72 nucleotides) under Fukomys damarensis (Damara mole-rat). It matches the Rfam family "tRNA". Rfam says of the family: Transfer RNA (tRNA) molecules are approximately 80 nucleotides in length. Lineage: Eukaryota; Metazoa; Chordata; Mammalia; Rodentia; Bathyergidae. The record is from Rfam by way of RNAcentral.